This 548-nucleotide ribosomal RNA is filed under the name uncultured bacterium. Its description in RNAcentral is "bacterial SSU rRNA". It matches the Rfam family "Bacterial small subunit ribosomal RNA", at positions 355 to 896 of the family's 1533-position model. The record is from RNAcentral.
UGGGGAAUUUUGGACAAUGGGGGCAACCCUGAUCCAGCCAUGCCGCGUGCGGGAAGAAGGCCUUCGGGUUGUAAACCGCUUUUAGUCGGAAAGAAAAGGCACGCCCUAAUACGGCGUGUUCUUGACGGUACCGGCGGAAUAAGCACCGGCCAACUCCGUGCCAGCAGCCGCGGUAAUACGGAGGGUGCGAGUGUUAAUCGGAAUUACUGGGCGUAAAGGGCGCGUAGGCGGUGCGUGGAGUCAGCUGUGAAAGCCCUGGGCUUAACCUGGGAAUGGCGUUUGGGACUGCAAGGCUUGAGUCAGUAAGGGGAGGGCAGAAUUCCUGGUGUAGCGGUGAAAUGCGUAGAUAUCAGGAGGAAGGCCGGUGGCGAAGGCGGCCCUCUGGUACUGGACUGACGCUGAGGCGCGAAAGCGUGGGGAGCGAACAGGAUUAGAUACCCUGGUAGUCCACGCCCUAAACGGUGGGCACUAGGUGUAGGGCUCGUAAGGGUUCUGUGCCGAAGGGAAACCAUUAAGUGCCCCGCCUGGGGAGUACGGCCGCAAGGUUG